RNAcentral lists this ribosomal RNA (460 nucleotides) under uncultured bacterium. Its description in RNAcentral is "partial 16S ribosomal RNA". It matches the Rfam family "Bacterial small subunit ribosomal RNA", at positions 338 to 795 of the family's 1533-position model. The record is from RNAcentral.
CCUACGGGUGGCAGCAGUGAGGAAUAUUGGUCAAUGGACGAGAGUCUGAACCAGCCAAGUAGCGUGAAGGAUGACUGCCCUAUGGGUUGUAAACCUCUUUUAUAAAGGAAUAAAACGAGGCACGUGUGCCUUUUUGCAUGUACUUUAUGAAUAAGGAUCGGUUAACUCCGUGCCAGCAGCCGCGGUAAUACGGAGGAUCCGAGCGUUAUCCGGAUUUGUUGGGUUUAAAGGGAGCGUAGAUGGGUUGUUAAGUCAGUUGUGAAAGUUGGCGGGUCAACCGUAAAAUUGCAAUUGAUACUGGCAGUCUUGAGUACAGUUGAGGUAGGCGGAAUUCGUGGUGUAGCGGUGAAAUGCUUAGAUAUCACGAAGAACCCCGAUUGCGAAGGCAGCAUACUAAACUGUGACUGACAUUGAGGCUCGAAAGUGUGGGUAUCAAACAGGAUUAGAUACCCUUGUAGUC